AUGGGAACGCGAAGAACCUUACCUAGACUUGACAUCUCCUGAAUAGUGUAGAAAUACAUGAAGCCCUUCGGGGCAGGAAGACAGGUGGUGCAUGGUUGUCGUCAGCUCGUGUCGUGAGAUGUUGGGUUAAGUCCCGCAACGAGCGCAACCCUUAUUACUAGUUGCUACCAUUAAGUUGAGCACUCUAGUGAGACUGCCCGGGUUAACCGGGAGGAAGGCGGGGAUGACGUCAAAUCAUCAUGCCCCUUAUGUCUAGGGCAACACACGUGCUACAAUGGUGAGUACAGAUAGAUGCGAUACCGCAAGGUGGAGCCAAACUCUAAAACUCAUCCCAGUUCGGAUUGUAGGCUGCAACUCGCCUACAUGAAGUUGGAGUUGCUAGUAAUCGCGAAUCAGAAUGUCGCGGUGAAUACGUUCCCGGGUCUUGUACACACCG
This 436-nucleotide ribosomal RNA is filed under the name uncultured bacterium. RNAcentral describes it as "bacterial SSU rRNA". It matches the Rfam family "Bacterial small subunit ribosomal RNA", at positions 954 to 1392 of the family's 1533-position model. The record is from RNAcentral.